AGGCAGCAGUUAGGAAUAUUGGACAAUGGGCGAAAGCCUGAUCCAGCCAUGCCGCGUGCGUGAAGAAGGUCUUCGGAUUGUAAAGCACUUUAAGUUGGGAGGAAGGGCAGUAAAUUAAUACUUUGCUGUUUUGACGUUACCGACAGAAUAAGCACCGGCUAACUCUGUGCCAGCAGCCGCGGUAAUACAGAGGGUGCAAGCGUUAAUCGGAAUUACUGGGCGUAAAGCGCGCGUAGGUGGUUUGUUAAGUUGGAUGUGAAAUCCCCGGGCUCAACCUGGGAACUGCAUUCAAAACUGACAAGCUAGAGUAUGGUAGAGGGUGGUGGAAUUUCCUGUGUAGCGGUGAAAUGCGUAGAUAUAGGAAGGAACACCAGUGGCGAAGGCGACCACCUGGACUGAUACUGACACUGAGGUGCGAAAGCGUGGGGCGCAAACAGGAUUAGAUACCCUAGUAGUCC
This 458-nucleotide ribosomal RNA is filed under the name uncultured bacterium. RNAcentral's name for it is "bacterial SSU rRNA". It matches the Rfam family "Bacterial small subunit ribosomal RNA", at positions 346 to 796 of the family's 1533-position model. The record is from RNAcentral.